Molecule: small nuclear RNA, 120 nt
Organism: Papaver somniferum (opium poppy)
Lineage: Eukaryota; Viridiplantae; Streptophyta; Magnoliopsida; Ranunculales; Papaveraceae
Product: U5 spliceosomal RNA
Exons: 1
Source: RefSeq, a predicted model, not a curated record
CAGCCGUGUGGUAAGCACAAAGCGGACUACUAUUUCGCCUUUUACUAAAGAAUACCAUGUGCUUACCAUAUAUAUGCGGCAUACGCCUAUUUUUGGAGGUUUUCUCUUUUUCAGAGGAAC